GACGUUGUUGGGGUCCGCAGGGAUGCCUCCGUCACGCCUCUCAAUGUACCGCGCCACGUCCUCCCGGAUCAGCUGGAUGCCGGAGCUGACGCUGUAGGCCCCUGGACUCGGGCAGGACAGGAUGGGAAGUACAGAUGCCUGGAGCAAAGGGGAAGGGAGGAGGCUCAUGGACCCUCCCUGCUCAGAGUUCCCCCCGCUCUACGUCCCUCUGUGUUAAAGGUAAAGGCCCUACCUGUGCUCAGGUACCCUCUCCUCCCAAGCCACCUGGCCUCCUCACUCUGCUUCCCUCCUUAGCAGUUCUGCCCUCCUCACUGACCAAGACA
Molecule: long non-coding RNA, 323 nt
Filed under: Homo sapiens (human)
Lineage: Eukaryota; Metazoa; Chordata; Mammalia; Primates; Hominidae
Description: non-protein coding lnc-RECQL4-2:2
Source: RNAcentral